GUUGGGGGCAAUCGUGGAGUGACUGAGCAAACACUCACACGCACGUCACAGCUGUGUUCACAUAGUGAGAACCAAAGGCACCAGGGCAGUUACCAAAUCGAUUAGUGCUGUCUGGAGAUGCCAAGAGACAUGUCUGAACAUCGGUGUCACCCUUAGUUCACUGUAUGUGUGUGUAGGUGUGAUUGCUCACAAUGAUUUAAGAGCCAACACCUUUCUUCAGCCAAACCUAACACAAACCAUCAGCCAGCCUGUCAUUCACAAAAAACCUGGAAAGGACCAGCAGGCAGGAAAAUCGGCAAAGUGAGGGGAAGUCAUGUGAAUAAAUCAAGGAAAGCCCAGAGAGGUGAGUGGUUCUGACUGACGAGAAAGGGCAAUCUGUCAGACAUGGAGGAAUGAAUGCAAACAGAUCUGCAGGAUCUGAAACACAAUUUAUUCUCAACACACUUGUUCCUGUUUCUCUUCCUUCGGUCUCCCGCUGAAAUCUGUCAUGGCAGUUUCAACAGAAUACUGUUAGAUUAGUAUCAGAACAUCUUAUUUUGUUAGACUAGAUUGAAUGGGGGGGUGGAACAGCAGUGUAAAUUCUCCAUUAUGGCCCUAUAUGAAAAUGUCCCAUUUCAUGCUCAGCAGGCAUGUCAUUCUCAUUUUAAUGGGAUUAAUUGACAGCAGAGUCUAACAAAAGGCGCUGCUUGCUUGAGGAAAUUUGUUAAGGAAGUCCCUGUCCAAAAAGGUAGUCUUUCUCAUAAAUGCAGUAAAACUAAAACAUGUGUAUUUGUUUACCUGACAACAGAUUUUAUCAGACUCGAACAGAGACUAAAUAAAGAACUAGAAGAUUAACAGGUAACAGGUGAAGCUAUAAAACUAGUAGCUGACAGGCUCAGAUUGGUCAUGGCUCAUCACAUCAUUCCAAACCUUCCUGCGAAAAAUAUUUCUGAUAAAUGUGCCUCUUUCACUUCACUCUUUCACAACGUUUAUGGAAAUGUGGUUAAGGAGAAAAUGGCAUUUCCGUAAAUUGGCCUUUUUCCUGAGCAAGACAUGAACUAACUAUCUGUUGAUCAGACAGUGGCAGCUGAGACAAACACUAACUAAACAGUACACUUUUACAGUAGACUGUGUUUGCUGAGGAAGCUGGCUGUGGACAGCCACAGCGAGGCUCUGUUGUGGGUGUGAUAGUCACCAACAGACCGACUCAUCAGAGAUUUGUCAUGGAUUUGUCUGGUGGAUUUGUCAGGGUGCAGCCUCUCCGCCUCGAAACUCAUAAAUCAAGAUCAUGGUGUUGUUGUUCCAUCUCUGCCUCCAGGCAAACAAAAUGGAACGCGGUGCUUGUACUAUUUGCUGUAGUAAAUGUAAUUGUUGCUGCUUCAUGUGUAAGCAGGUAUGUGUUCAUGUGUGUGGGGGUGCUGGGAGUUAAUAGGAGAAAAAUGCCCGACGCGCAGUAAUAACAGACCAACAGACAAAACACAUGCCGUUCAGACUGAGUGGAGCUUCAUGGGCAGAUUUUCAUUCAUGUCACACACUCAUUGUGUGGAUGCAGCAGAUCUCGUCUCCCACAAUCAACAGCAACAAGGCUUUAUUGAUGUCGCGAACUGCCUCUUGGCUUCGUUGAGUGCAGCACAGCCAGAGAACCUGACAGGCUGACGGCUGCAGGCGCCUCCGUGGAGAGGAGUCUCCCUCUACUGUCUGCAGCCUUCACAUGCAGCCAUCAGAGGGUUUAGCUGUGUGUGUGUGUGUGUGUGUGUGUGUGUGUGUGUGUGUGUGUGUGUGUGUGUGUACACACACAGAGUAUUCACCGUGAAAGAUGCUGUUGUCUGUGAGGAAGUGCCGACGGUACUGAGGCUCGGCUUUCCUGUUCACCACCCGGGAGCUCAUGGCGGGCGGAGGACGAAAAACUGGAUGAUCUGGGAAAGAGAUUUUAGACGUAAAUGAGAUAUAUGGUAUGACGUAAAUAAUUAUAAAUAUUGUAAUUGUAUCAAGAGGCUAAUUGAAAAUAAUUUAGUUGUUAAGAACGGCCAAUCUUCUACAUUAAUAUCAAAAAAGACAAUUUGUGUUCUCUAUGUUAAACCAUUAAAAACCAAUAAAACAGAAGUGACAGCUUGUAGCUAUUUAAAUACUUUUGCAUCUUCGUCUUUAUUAAACCUACACUCAAACAUUUAUCGACUAUCCGUUCCUUUUAAAUUGCUACAAUUAUCUCUCAGCAUGUGUUCUCAUUUGUCUUCCUUCUGUUUCUCCUCAUUCCUGGAUUGAAUGCUCCAUUACUUCCUCCCGAUCACGUUUCAUUCCUACCUAUAGCGUCAUUGCUCAGAGUUUCUCCACCUGUUACUUGUCUGUCUCUUUGUCACCCACUGCUUCGCUCUGUCUUUUUCUCGUUUAGAUCUUAGUUCUGGACAAACUCGGAGCCUCUGGGACAUUUAUUGCCGUCUGGUGCCAGCUGACCUCAAGAAAGAUGAGUGCCCAGUUGAACUCACGAACCUUGUGGGUCAAGUAUCUAUGAGAGGCCAAAUUAGACGUAGAUGUCGAGCAGAGGAAAAUGACUGGGCACAUUGUUCGAGCGGUUUUAAUGGCACGCCAGGUCCUGAUAAAGCUUCAUCCAGCAUAAACACUGAAGUCUCUUGGCAAGAAGUCAACUGAGCGCUCAAGUCAGCCAACAAUCUUCUGUGGAAGAUUAACCCUGAUCAACCUGAUGUGAUGUGAUGGCUGUUUAGGCAUGUUUCACCUGCAGCAGCAAUCCAGGUGUGUUUGGUUUUAUCGUGGCUGCCAAAUGAAAGCCCCAGCUUGUUUAUAACAGGUCCAUUUCAUGUCCAUGUGCAUAAUCAGCUGAGCAAGCAGUCAGUUGAAAACAUAUAGUAUUUUUAUUGUUUUAAAAUAGGUUCAAGCCUAAAGUGUCAAUAAGCAACAUACAGUAAAGACAAUUACUCAGAGACUGCUUUACUGUCAAAACAGCCCAACAGCAACAAUUGUGUAAUCCAUCACUCAUGUUUUUAUUACUAAUACAGCUGUAAGAGCUGAAAUAAUUCCUAAUUAUUGUUAUUAUCAAGGAUCAGUUUGGGGUUUGGCACAUGGCAUAAAUCACCACCUCUUCUCAAAGAGAGCAGCAGCUGUCACUCAGUACUGACACAUGCCAGAGAGCAAUUAAUGAGAAACACAAUGACUGCUCUAUUUCACUUGGUGAGAGCAGCUGCCAUAAAUGCUGGGCUACAAUCAGCCAUGAAAUCUGCAUAAUAUGUCUCUGUGGCCUUGACAUAAGCCAAGCAGUAGUAGAA
Betta splendens (Siamese fighting fish) is the source of this 3257-nucleotide long non-coding RNA. RefSeq lists it as uncharacterized. The transcript has 3 exons. The record is from RefSeq and is a predicted model, not a curated record. Lineage: Eukaryota; Metazoa; Chordata; Actinopteri; Anabantiformes; Osphronemidae.